RNAcentral lists this ribosomal RNA (253 nucleotides) under uncultured prokaryote. RNAcentral's name for it is "partial 16S ribosomal RNA". It matches the Rfam family "Bacterial small subunit ribosomal RNA", at positions 524 to 776 of the family's 1533-position model. The record is from RNAcentral.
UACGAAGGGGGCUAGCGUUGCUCGGAUUGACUGGGCGUAAAGGGCGCGUAGGCGGUUUGUACAGUCAGACGUGAAAUUCCUGGGCUCAACCUGGGGGCUGCGUUUGAUACGUGCAGACUUGAGUUCGGAAGAGGGUCGUGGAAUUCCCAGUGUAGAGGUGAAAUUCGUAGAUAUUGGGAAGAACACCGGUGGCGAAGGCGGCUCUCUGGACCGAGACUGACGCUGAGGCGCGAAAGCGUGGGGAGCAAACAGG